GGACAGUCACGGUUACGCACACAGUUGGCAAUUUUAUUAGCUUAUGUUAAAGUUUUCUAAUACCGGAUGUUAACAAAAUAUUCCAAGUUGCCACAUAACCGCGGGCACGGCUUUCCGAAAGAUUAAACCCUGCAGGGGUGCUCCAACUAGUCCAUCACAAACGUACACAGGCCGCAAAGGCAUCCUCUAUCACGAAUCUCGUGAUCUCGUCGGAUUCCUUAGAGG
RNAcentral lists this long non-coding RNA (225 nucleotides) under Hordeum vulgare. RNAcentral describes it as "long non-coding RNA (HVUL_LNC020994)". The record is from RNAcentral. Lineage: Eukaryota; Viridiplantae; Streptophyta; Magnoliopsida; Poales; Poaceae.